GGAAAGUUAAAAAUGGUUAUAUCUUUAUUAUAUGAUUAAAGUUAGAUUAUCUCUCUCUGCUCAAAAAGUUGACAUAAUCUAGAAGUGGAUGAAAUCGCAUAUGAAACUGAAGAGACGCAGAAACAGCACAUAAUCAAAGCCUUAAGAGCUAAAGCAUUUGCACAGUUAGCAUCUGUGUCUUCAUCCUCUUUAAAUUCCCAACACCCAGUAUGACAUCCAUCAGACAGCUGCACUCAAUAGUCUUAUAAAAACAAAUGAAUGAAAAAACUAGGGCAAAG
This 278-nucleotide long non-coding RNA is filed under the name Marmota monax (woodchuck). Lineage: Eukaryota; Metazoa; Chordata; Mammalia; Rodentia; Sciuridae. The record is from RNAcentral.